This is a long non-coding RNA of Eurytemora carolleeae, 301 nucleotides long. RefSeq lists it as uncharacterized. The record is from RefSeq and is a predicted model, not a curated record. NCBI's taxonomy places the organism in Eukaryota, Metazoa, Arthropoda, Copepoda, Calanoida, Temoridae. The transcript has 4 exons.
UAAAAAAUAGGGUAAAAUUUGUUUUGAUUAUCUAGAGUGUUCGGUCACCUUGGAAACCUCCUUCCACGAACGAAAAGGAGGACCUUCUAGAACACCUUCAAGAUUAUCAAUGGUGGCAAAGGUGGUUGGGGCCACCAGUAUGAUCGCGAAGAAGAUGAGUGAGAAGAGCGGGAAGGACGAGGACUACUUCAAGAACCUGGACAAGUGCUAUGAUAUUAACAGCUACGAGUCUGAAUAUAAGCAAGGACUUUUUGUCAGAUCACAUUCAUCCGAAUCCAUGUUUUCUAAGAGAAAAUUAAAG